Molecule: ribosomal RNA, 519 nt
Filed under: uncultured bacterium
Lineage: Bacteria
Description: bacterial SSU rRNA
Rfam family: Bacterial small subunit ribosomal RNA
Source: RNAcentral
GACGAAAGUCUGACGGAGCAACGCCGCGUGUAUGAUGAAGGUCUUCGGAUUGUAAAGUACUGUCUUUGGGGAAGAACGGUCAUCUUGAGAAUAUUGAGGUGACAUGACGGUACCCAAGGAGGAAGCCCCGGCUAACUACGUGCCAGCAGCCGCGGUAAUACGUAGGGGGCGAGCGUUGUCCGGAAUUAUUGGGCGUAAAGGGCGCGUAGGCGGAUUUUUAAGUCCGGUGUGAAAGAUCAGGGCUCAACCCUGAGAGUGCAUCGGAAACUGGGGAUCUUGAGGACAGGAGAGGAAAGUGGAAUUCCACGUGUAGCGGUGAAAUGCGUAGAUAUGUGGAGGAACACCGGUGGCGAAGGCGACUUUCUGGACUGUAACUGACGCUGAGGCGCGAAAGCGUGGGGAGCAAACAGGAUUAGAUACCCUGGUAGUCCACGCCGUAAACGAUGAGUGCUAGGUGUAGAGGGUAUCGACCCCUUCUGUGCCGCAGUUAACACAAUAAGCACUCCGCCUGGGGAGUAC